GAUGAACGCUAGCGAUAGGCUUAACACAUGCAAGUCGAGGGGCAGCACAAGGUAGCUUGCUCUCUGGGUGGCGACCGGCGCACGGGUGCGUAACGCGUAUGCAACUUGCCCUAUACAGGAGGAUAACCCGUCGAAAGACGGACUAAUACUGCGUAUGCUCACAACUUGGCAUCAAGUGGUGAGGAAAGGAAUUCGGUAUAGGAUAGGCAUGCGUCCCAUUAGCUUGUUGGUGAGGUAACGGCUCACCAAGGCAACGAUGGGUAGGGGAACUGAGAGGUUUAUCCCCCACACUGGUACUGGGAAACGGACAAGAUUCCUACGGAGGCAGCAGUGAGGAAUAUUGGUCAAUGGGCGCGAGCCUGAACCAGCCAAGUCGCGUGAAGGAUGACUGUCUUAUGGAUGGUAAACUUCUUUUAGACGGGAAUAACAAGAGUCACGUGUGACUCCCUGCAUGUACCGUAUGAAUAAGCAUCGGCUAACUCCGUG
This 486-nucleotide ribosomal RNA is filed under the name uncultured bacterium. RNAcentral describes it as "partial 16S ribosomal RNA". It matches the Rfam family "Bacterial small subunit ribosomal RNA", at positions 28 to 507 of the family's 1533-position model. The record is from RNAcentral.